RNAcentral lists this ribosomal RNA (253 nucleotides) under uncultured bacterium. RNAcentral's name for it is "partial 16S ribosomal RNA". It matches the Rfam family "Bacterial small subunit ribosomal RNA", at positions 524 to 776 of the family's 1533-position model. The record is from RNAcentral.
UACGAAGGGGGCUAGCGUUGCUCGGAAUGACUGGGCGUAAAGGGCGCGUAGGCGGCUUGCACCGUCAGAUGUGAAAUUCCUGGGCUUAACCUGGGGGCUGCAUUUGAUACGUGUGGGCUUGAGUGCGGAAGAGGGUCGUGGAAUUCCCAGUGUAGAGGUGAAAUUCGUAGAUAUCAAGAGGAACACCUGCGGCGAAGGCGGGUUGCUGGGCCGACACUGACGCUGAGGCGCGAAAGCUAGGGGAGCGAACGGG